RNAcentral lists this ribosomal RNA (220 nucleotides) under uncultured bacterium. RNAcentral's name for it is "partial 16S ribosomal RNA". It matches the Rfam family "Bacterial small subunit ribosomal RNA", at positions 111 to 334 of the family's 1533-position model. The record is from RNAcentral.
UAAUAUAUCGGAACGUACCCUAGAGUGGGGGAUAACGUAGCGAAAGUUACGCUAAUACCGCAUACGAUCUACGGAUGAAAGCAGGGGACCGCAAGGCCUUGCGCUCAUGGAGCGGCCGAUAUCUGAUUAGCUAGUUGGUAGGGUAAAGGCCUACCAAGGCACCGAUCGGUAGCUGGUCUGAGAGGAUGAUCAGCCACACUGGGACUGAGAUACGGCCCAG